CAGCCUUUUCAAUAACCUUAUGACAGGUACUUGGAUCCUGGAGCAACCACAAAAGACAGUCAAUUGCCAUAUACUGCCAGUCAUCCGAUGAGCGAGCUAUAUUGCACAAUGCCUCUAUAAUACCAGGACAUGCAGCAACAGGCCCUCUACCAAGCUUGUGAUGGCAAAUUGUCCUUAACAGACCGAUUCCAGCAGGGGAGUUUUCAUUAACAAGUCCACCCCACAUUCCUGGAAGCUUUGCUAGAAAUUCUGGCUUGCAAAUAGUAGGAAGAAAUUCAGGUUUGAAAGCAAAGCAAUUAAUAAGCUGAAGGGACCAACAUUGUAGCUGACUGGCCCAUUCUUCUGCCUUCCUGGACUCCAUUUCAACUCCACCCAUACCACGCGUAAGAAGGUCGCAAUGAUAACUAAGUCUUCUAUCAACAUAUUGGUAAAAGUGAGAGUAAACAAUUUCAAGAGAACUCAUAGCGAGUUGGAUGGAGAGCUCUAGAAUCUCACCGUGACUUGCAACAGCUGGAAAGGUGCUGGCAUAGGUAGCUAAG
RNAcentral lists this unclassified non-coding RNA (539 nucleotides) under Hevea brasiliensis (rubber tree). Lineage: Eukaryota; Viridiplantae; Streptophyta; Magnoliopsida; Malpighiales; Euphorbiaceae. The record is from RNAcentral.